AUUGAACGCUGGCGGCAGGCCUAACACAUGCAAGUCGAGCGGAUGAAGGGAGCUUGCUCCUGAAUUCAGCGGCGGACGGGUGAGUAAUGCCUAGGAAUCUGCCUGGUAGUGGGGGAUAACGUCCGGAAACGGGCGCUAAUACCGCAUACGUCCUGAGGGAGAAAGUGGGGGAUCUUCGGACCUCACGCUAUCAGAUGAGCCUAGGUCGGAUUAGCUAGUUGGUGGGGUAAAGGCCUACCAAGGCGACGAUCCGUAACUGGUCUGAGAGGAUGAUCAGUCACACUGGAACGGAGACACGGUCCAGACUCCUACGGGAGGCAGCAGUGGGGAAUAUUGGACAAUGGGCGAAAGCCUGAUCCAGCCAUGCCGCGUGUGUGAAGAAGGUCUUCGGAUUGUAAAGCACUUUAAGUUGGGAGGAAGGGCAGUAAGUUAAUACCUUGCUGUUUUGACGUUACCAACAGAAUAAGCACCGGCUAACUUCGUG
RNAcentral lists this ribosomal RNA (484 nucleotides) under uncultured bacterium. RNAcentral describes it as "partial 16S ribosomal RNA". It matches the Rfam family "Bacterial small subunit ribosomal RNA", at positions 30 to 507 of the family's 1533-position model. The record is from RNAcentral.